Molecule: long non-coding RNA, 759 nt
Filed under: Vulpes vulpes (red fox)
Lineage: Eukaryota; Metazoa; Chordata; Mammalia; Carnivora; Canidae
Description: lncRNA (ENSVVUG00000011172.1)
Source: RNAcentral
CGGGGCGGCCACGCCUGGGAGCAUCAUGGCGGCCUCCCCGGUGCGCUCUUGCCGCCGCCUGUUGGGACUGCGCUCCAGGGCUGCUGACUCCGGUGGGAGUGGCUGCCCCGCGGGUUUCAGCGGAUUCGGUAGAGACGAUUUGUUCGUUGCUGCUUACUGCCUCGUCCAACACCGGCGAACGAAUGUGUGGGGCCAAGAUGAGAAAGUACGAGGAAAGGAAGGCCGGGUCUUGGUAUCCCGCCUUCCUGACCGAAGAGCCUGUUUCCCUCCUUGGGUUGACUUUGAUUUGCUCUGUAGUGAGGGGAACAAGAUGGAUACUGAAGGACAGUGAAGCACAUCAGCCUCAGGGGAGCUGAUUUUUACUCAAGAUCUUUUUACCCAAGUGUGUCUGUGACCUAAAAAUAAGAUUUUAUAUUAUUAUUAAACAAGCAUUUAAACCUGCAAUGUCUCCCAUUUCUAAAAGUUAUUGUUGUUUCUACACUUAUGCAUAUUAUGCUAUAGAGUACCUUCAGCUUUCAAACUUCCUCAUUCAUCACUAAUUUAUUUAGCAAAUUGUUCUAAACACUUUUUAUGUGCCAAGCAUUAAAUUAGGCAUUGGGAUACAGAUAACAAGAGGAUAAGGUUCUUGAUUUCAAUAAGCUCAUACACUGAUUGGAGACAAAAAUUAGUUAAACCAUUCAUUGGAGCAUUCAAAAUCAGACUAGAGUGGGGAGGGUGAUAGGUAAUAAAGGAGCAAACUUUCAGAGGAGAUAAUGUGGU